GCUCUUCCCCUGUAGCGGCUGAUGGCCGGGAAACAGCGUAAGUGUUGCCAUAGCAACUGCUGGGACAUGCAGGAACUGACGUCACUUGAGGGCGUGGACUUGUCACGGCAGCAGAAGCCUGGGCUGCGGCGGUGGGAGGAGACCUGCUUCUGGAGGGUUUAUAAGAACCGUUCUCGUAGGGGCUACUGGGAACCAGGUAAUUGUAAGUAGUAUUUUUAAUUAAUGAUAGCUAUCAUGUGAACGGAAGGACUCUUGUGGAGGUAAACCACACCACCUGACGAAGUCCAUCAUUGGACGAAACACAUUUGGCGUGGCUUAGGACGUGGAUGCUGUGACGUCAUUCACCGGGACCAGAGCUGAUGUGGUAACAAGGCGGGAGAUCCAAUGGAGCGGCUUGGUGAGGAAACGAGCCGGGAGAUCCAAUAGAGCAGCUAAGUUACAGCGGUCUAAUCAUGCU
Molecule: long non-coding RNA, 457 nt
Organism: Pseudophryne corroboree (corroboree frog)
Lineage: Eukaryota; Metazoa; Chordata; Amphibia; Anura; Myobatrachidae
Exons: 3
Source: RefSeq, a predicted model, not a curated record